GGGUGCACUCCGGUCCCCUUUAAUUAAGUGGCGGCGGGGUCCAAGUCCGUCGAGUCGAAGAGACUAACAAAAAUCUGUUUUUUUUCCCUUCCCUUGAUUAACAACAGCAAAAAAGCAAAAAAGGACUCUCUGGCUAAGGCGAUCGUUAUGCUGAUGAGAGUCAGCAGCACGUGGUGUCUCAACCCCGUCCUCAUACUUCGGCAGCCUUCAAAAUAAAUAAAACAAUGUGCAUCCCCCACAGGAGAAGGAGCUUUGCUUUCCGGCGAUCUCCCCCAUCCGCGGUCAGGACUAGAGGGAAUGACAAGACUGUCUCCGAUCUGUACUUCUCUCCGGGUUUUCCCAGGAACCCAUUUUUUGUUUGUUUUGAAAAAAGCCUGGACUAUCUUGUUUGCCAAAUAAAUAAGAAUAAUACAUAAUAAUAAAUAAUAAUACUUUAUAAUUUGGUGCCAAAGAUUUUUUUGCUAAAACCCUGUCAAUCUAAAGCCUAAAACAUUUCCUUGAAUAAAUGAAAGCUAGGGAAAAAAAACAACAACAACAAACAAAACAAUCCUUCAGACUAUUAAGGUAAAGAGAGUCUGGUUUGUUUUUCGCCCUUAAAAAAAAAGGCAGAUCUUAUUAAAAACAAUUUACAUACCCAAUAGUAAAAAAGUGUGAACGCCUCCCAGGGCAGAUAACAACCUAUCAAAACUCUCCCUCUAAUUUACUUCGACGUGCCACUUCCACCUUCUUGUACAAAGUAAGCGCUGUGGGUGGGGGUGUUACAUGCGCGAAGUGUCGGUGUGGUUUGGGGCGAUGGGGGGAGGGGGGGCUCCGCUUAUGGUGCCUUUAUGCAGCUUUUUCGCAUACAAUUCUGGGAGCAUUUUCAGCACCAUAAAACAAAUCUUUGGCCUUCCCCCCGAUGCUUUACCCCCUUUCCCCAUGAAAAAACCUGCGUGUACCUAGGUAAAUGAUCCGAAAGCACAUGUGCCUCGACUGAGGUCUUAGGGACCCAAACCACAAGGUAGCAAACACUCCGCGCUUUAGUCCGGCUGUAGGUUCUGCUGCCGGCUUGUUUUCACAAUAGGGUCUGUGGCAACUUUCGAAACCAACCAGCAACACAGCCAAUAGCGUAUACAUAAAACGAUCCUCCCUGACAAUUAACCCAGCGUUGAGUUAUUCCCCGCUACAACCACCAUCGCCUGUUAUCUGACAUACAUUAAAAAAGGUGAAACUUCCGGAGCUUUGGUCUUUAUUUAUUUACUUACUUGAAAUGACAAUGUUCAAAAUAAUCUUUUUUUCGGUCACAUGGGAGAGCUCUCGCUCUGUAUACCGCUAACUGUGGUUUGCAACUCUAUGCUCUUGUCUGCAAUAGCACACGUCCUUGAAGGAAAUGCAGCGGAAGACAUGCAUUUGUUUAUUAUUUUCAUGCUACCUCUUUUUUCCCAAGGUUAAUAUGUUUGAUAGUAACCCCUGAUCACCUGGCAGAGAUCUCAGGGUUUUUUUUCUCUGUAUAUUUGUCAAAUACGGAGUGGUGGUGGUGGGGAGUUUACUGUUCCUACGUGGAAAUAUAAGUAUGAUGGCUACGUGCUCCCAUACUUACCAACAAAAUGGGCAAGAUCCUGUCCAAAAGGAGAAGUGUGCACAGUUCCCCGAAAUGGGGAAUUUAACACAAUCUGCAAGGAGCUGAGUAAUUUAAAUGUUUUCAGAGCUCUCCUUAAAUAGAGUUGCAGUACAGUAAAAUAUUGUUAAGUAGUUAUUUUUGGUACUAUGUUUAUUAUUGUGCUUUUUAACACCUUCCCUUUAGGAUGCCGGAUAACAUUUUCCAUUAGAUAGAGAGUACAGGUGUUGGGCAGAAAAGAAAAAGUUAACAGGAACCUUAUGUUUCCAAGUACAGAAUUAAUUUGACAGUAAUUAUUUCAGUAUUUUUUAAAAGAAGAAGAUACAUUUCCUCUUUUAAUUAGUCAUAUCAGUAUUUUUGCAGUUGCCUUCAUCCAUACUAAAA
Molecule: long non-coding RNA, 1981 nt
Organism: Dermochelys coriacea (leatherback sea turtle)
Lineage: Eukaryota; Metazoa; Chordata; Testudines; Dermochelyidae
Exons: 2
Source: RefSeq, a predicted model, not a curated record